UACGGAGGGAGCUAGCGUUGUUCGGAAUUACUGGGCGUAAAGCGCACGUAGGCGGUUACUCAAGUCAGAGGUGAAAGCCCCGGGGCUCAACCCCCGGAACUGCCUUUGUAAACUAAGGUAACUAGAAUCUUGGAGAGGUCAGUGGAAUUCCGAGUGUAGAGGUGAAAUUCGUAGAUAUUCGGAAGAACACCAGUGGCGAAGGCGACUGACUGGACAAGUAUUGACGCUGAGGUGCGAAAGCGUGGGGAGCAAACAGGAUUAGAUACCCCGGUAGU
This 275-nucleotide ribosomal RNA is filed under the name uncultured bacterium. RNAcentral describes it as "partial 16S ribosomal RNA". It matches the Rfam family "Bacterial small subunit ribosomal RNA", at positions 524 to 794 of the family's 1533-position model. The record is from RNAcentral.